Molecule: long non-coding RNA, 396 nt
Filed under: Homo sapiens (human)
Lineage: Eukaryota; Metazoa; Chordata; Mammalia; Primates; Hominidae
Description: non-protein coding lnc-CNN1-4:1
Source: RNAcentral
AUGGCCGAGGGAGGCAUUGCUGCUGGAGGUGUAAUGGAUGUUAAUACUGCUUUACAAGAGGUGCUGAAGACCGCCCUCAUCCACGAUGGCCUAGCACGUGGAAUCUGUGAAGCUGCCAAAGCCUUAGACAAGCGCCAAGCCCAUCUUUGUGUGCUUGAUCCAACUGUGAUAAGCCUAUGUAUGUCAAGCUGGUGGAGUCCCUUUGUGCUGAGCACCAAAUCAACUUAAUUAAGGUUGAUGACAACAAGAAACUAGGGGAAUGGGUAGCGCUCUGUAAAAUUGAGAGAAGGGAAACCCUGUAAAGUGGUUGGUUGCAGUUGUGUAGUAGUUAAGGACUAUGGCAAGGAGUCUCAGGCCAAGGAUGUCAUCCAAGAGUACUUCAAAUGCAAGAAAUGA